GUUAAUUUCAGACUCAUCAGCAUGGUGUUUGAACCCAGCAGAGCCCAGUCCUGUGCUCCCUCCAGCCUCAUCUUCAGUCUGGAAUUUGGACAAGAAUAAUGCCAGGCUCAAAGCCGAAUCACUAGGAAGGAGGUCACUGCUGAGAAACCAGAGGUAUGAGAGGCCAAGAAUGGCAUACACGUCUAGACCUCGUGCAACUUCUGUGUCUGGAUCACUCUCAGCCAUCCAGGUGAGAUGAGUGUGCUGUGGUUGCUUCACUCCAGCCCUGAGUUGGAAGUGGAGGAAGUGGGGGAAGUGGAGGAAGCCCUCCACAUGUCUUCUCAACUCUAGAUCUCAAGCUGAAAAGUCAGUGUCACCCAGGUCUUGAUAUUCUCAUCACAGAAGCCAGGAACUCAGGAGAAAUGGAAACCUGUGCAGGCUCUUAAAGCCUCUGUUUGAAAUUUCACAAUGUAACGUAUAUGCCUAUUCCAUUGGACAACACAAGCCACCUUUGCAAGCCCAAAGUCAACAGCAGAGCACUGAAAGGUCAAACAACCUUAAAAAAUGAUGAGAUCUACUGCAACAAUCUGUGAUUUAUUUCACUAUUCUAAAAAAAGUGACACACACCUAUACACCAGACAUUCUCUCCUCCACAGUUGAACAAGCAGCUUCCAGAGUCUACAUUACAGUGAAGAACAUACAUAUUCAGAGGCUCCUUUUGUUCCAAUGUUGGCUCUUCCACCCACAAGAUGUGAGAACUUGGACAAAGUAUUUAAUCUAUCAAAGCCUCCAGAGCUAUCCCCCACAAUUUUUAUAAAAUGGAGACAAAGGUCAUCAUAAUUUUGUGGGAUUGUUAGGAAGAUUAAUGUGUAGUAACUUCAUGUAAGGCAUUAGCAUUUCUGUCUGGCACGUAGAACUCAUUUCACUUAUAGCUUUGGUUUCCCAAGGAUAAAAAUCAGGAUCAAUAAGGGGGAAAGGUACAUGUGGCAGAGCCUGGAGGAUACCAGGUGCGGGCUUCUAAGAGUCUUUUCCCAGUGGGUUUGCAUGAUACACCUUCAAUCCUCCAGCAAUGAACUGCAGCAAUGCAUAUGAAGUGUUUUCUGUCAGGGAAUGUCGUCUGAGCCUACAAGUUCACGUUUUUACUGGAGUUUGUCAUGCAGUAACAUGUGCCUCCAUCCCUCCGUACCUCCAUGACUUAGCACAGCUAUUAAAAUUCCAAACCCGGGCAGCCCUGGUGGCCCAGCGGUUUAGCACUGCCUUCAGCCCAGGAUGUGAUCCUGGAGACCCGGGAUCAA
Long non-coding RNA from Canis lupus familiaris (dog), 1274 nucleotides. RefSeq lists it as uncharacterized. The record is from RefSeq and is a predicted model, not a curated record. The transcript is spliced from 3 exons. NCBI's taxonomy places the organism in Eukaryota, Metazoa, Chordata, Mammalia, Carnivora, Canidae.